GGGGUGCUCGAGUGGCGAACGGGUGAGUAACACGUGAGUAACCUGCCCUUGACUUUGGGAUAACUUCAGGAAACUGGGGCUAAUACCGGAUAGGAGCUCCUGCUGCAUGGUGGGGGUUGGAAAGUUUCGGCGGUUGGGGAUGGACUCGCGGCUUAUCAGCUUGUUGGUGGGGUAGUGGCUUACCAAGACUUUGACGGGUAGCCGGCCUGAGAGGGUGACCGGCCACAUUGGGACUGAGAUACGGCCCAG
RNAcentral lists this ribosomal RNA (249 nucleotides) under uncultured Actinomycetales bacterium. Its description in RNAcentral is "partial 16S ribosomal RNA". It matches the Rfam family "Bacterial small subunit ribosomal RNA", at positions 84 to 334 of the family's 1533-position model. Lineage: Bacteria; Bacillati; Actinomycetota; Actinomycetes; Actinomycetales. The record is from RNAcentral.